Molecule: long non-coding RNA, 1394 nt
Organism: Octopus sinensis (East Asian common octopus)
Lineage: Eukaryota; Metazoa; Mollusca; Cephalopoda; Octopoda; Octopodidae
Exons: 4
Source: RefSeq, a predicted model, not a curated record
AUUUCUAUUAGCCUCCAGCAAAUUUUGUUACGUUGUAAAGGUUACUCAUCUGUAAGAGAUUAAAAUAACUGCAAACCACUAAGCUGAUCACAGAACUGAACGUUCGGACAAAUGAACAUAACACACACACACACACACACACAUUUAUUUACCCGCAACAGUUGAUUGAAGUUAUUGUACACCUCAAGGUCGGCGGAAAUAUAUCUGUCAGGAUUGACUAACAAGGCCAACGCUUCUCAGUGUAGAAGUUGAGAUAUCAGGGCUGAACAUGAUGAUGUAUGAUGUCGUUCUGUGCAUGUAUGAUAUAACAGAAAGUAAAUUCUUGGUGCUAAAUGAUCAGGUAUCCGCUGAUGAAAGAAAUUCAAUUCUCUACUCUACACCGAAACAAAUAAAUAAAAAUUGAAUAGAUAAAUGUCAAGGAUCAUUUAUUCCAGAAGUCUUCAAAAGCACAAAGGAAGUAAAUUGUUCUCAGGGGAAAAAAUCGUAGCAAUACCACUGCUUGUAGUUCGGUGAUUUUCAGAGAGGCACAAAUGUAACCAAACAUGAAACCACACACAAACAUACAUAUGUAUAACAGGACUGCACUUGGAACCGGUCAUGAUUUUUGUUUACUCCAGCAAAUCUCUUGUUUCUUUCUUCUGAACGGAAAACUCUGAAUUCUUGAACUUAUUAAAAAAUAGUGUUGUGAGCCAUUCUUCCUUGUCGGGGCAAUAACAAACAGGGAAAAAUCCAGUCCUUUAUUGGUUCUAGGAUGUGCACCUUUACCAUUUCUGACCACUCGUUCCAGUGCCACAACCAAGAACACUGAUUUUUUGUCAAUUAUUUGCCAUCAAAUGGACUUUGUUCAGUGUCUUCAGCAAGUAUUUUGCUUUGUGCACAACACCAAAACAAAGCAGUUUCGUCCCUAUCAUAUAUUUGAUCAGAAUUUUCUUUUUCUUUGAUGCAACAAAACAAGCCAAAUCUUGAACAAAAUAUUCUGCUUCUAAGCCUGCACUCCUCUUUUCAUCUGAUGCACUGUGCAGUGAAAUUUUUAUGUCUAUCUUCUAAAUUUGUGCAACCUUCCAUGCAAAUAUUCACACUAAAAAUUUUUGGCUUGUUCAACAAUAAAGCUGCUAGAAAUAUUCACAACAUCAGAUCUAAGUUACUCUAAAGCAGUUUAUCAGAGAACUAUCUUUUUCCACCUUUUAUUUUGAUCAAAGAAAGAAAAAAACUUCUAAAUUUGUUCUUUGUGUUCCUUUAAAUCAUAAAUGAUAGAAGAACUAACUCCAUACAAGACAUACAGAAAUAUCCAUGUCACACAUUUAUCUAACUUUUCAAAUAGCUCCGUAUUUUCCAGCAUUGACAAUGAUUUGUGUUUAUGUCUUUCUAUUUCCAUUGUGGCUUGGAAAGCGUCU